This 73-nucleotide transfer RNA is filed under the name Marmota monax (woodchuck). RNAcentral's name for it is "tRNA.Ala". Lineage: Eukaryota; Metazoa; Chordata; Mammalia; Rodentia; Sciuridae. The record is from RNAcentral.
GUGGGGUUGUGGCUCAAUGGUAGAGCGCUUGCCUAGCAUGUGUGAGGCACUGGAUUCAAUUCUCAGCACCACA